AGCACCCAGGACUCUCCGUGUAGGAAGCUACUCCUGCCUCUGAGGCAACAGAGCAAGAGACAGAAGGGUGUCCCUGGAAAGGAGAGGCUGGCCAUCAGGAGCGGUGCUAUGGAGGGCACAGUGGCUCCUGGAGCCCCAGCGAGGGGCGGAGAAAAGGCUCUUCCAGAUCCUUUUCCAAAGAGGAUCCUAAAGAGGAAACCAAUUUCCAAAAGUGGAGAGCAUACAAAGAACUGAGUAAGAGCUUCAAAUAAGUCAAAACCUUCAACACCAGGAAAAGAACAACUCAAGACUCGGAAAGAGAUCAACUUUCAAACUCGCUGUUAGGCAAAAGCUUGAGGCUGUAGGGGGAAUGGGUCUCACUCGGCCUGGUGGUGGGAAGGGCUGGGCCAUGGCUAACGAAAUCACACGUGCUUUUGCCCUUUAAACCAACAAUCUCACUUUUAAGAAACUAUCCCAAGGGCACCAGGGUGGCCCCAUCGGUUGAGCGUUCUACUUGUGACUUUGGCUGAGUUCAUGAUCUCAGGGUGCUGGGAUGGAGCCCUGUACUGGGUUCUGUGCUCCACGCGGAGUCUGCUUGAGAUUCUUUCUCUCCCUCCCCUCUGCCCCUCCCCCUGCUCGCUCUCCCUCUUGCUCUCUCUUUCUCCCUCUCUCUAAAAUAAAUAUUCUUUUUAAAAAAAAGAAACUAUCCCAGAGACAUAUGGAUAAAAAUUCAAAAUGACUUGUGCACAUGGCUAUUCACUGCAGCACUAUUUGUGAUAUGAGAGAGUAAGUCCUUCAGUAGGGGUUGAAUAAGCUAAGGUAUAUAUACCCACAGAAUGGAGGGUGAUACAGCCAAAAGGCAUGCGCUCUCUCCCGGUCUUCCUUUCUGAAUAAUCUAAUGUAAAAGCCAUCAAGCCUUAGGCACCAAUCAAGGCAGGCAUGCCUACAUGGAAUGAAGAGAGGCGUGGGGCAUCAGGCCAUCAUGAAGGGUCCUGGGGGUGUGGGAACCCGCGAUACUGGAAUUGACCGAGUAAGUAAAUGUACUGAGGCACACAGGAGCCGGACUUCUCAAUGACAGAAACGGGAGUUGCAAAUAGGAAAAGGGAAAAACCAGAAUAAAUGUGGGGAGUUGUACUCAAGUUGAAGGGAUGGGUGUGAGUGGAUGGGUUUUGGUAGAUAAAGAGACAAAAAUAUGAGAAAAGACAGUGUGUGUGCCUUUGUGUGAUACCUGUGUAUGUUCCCUCGCUGCAGUCACUGACGAGGACCUAGCAGCAGGCAUGCCUCAAUUCCAAGGAGCACAUCUGGCACCUGGAGUUUGGUUUUUAAAUACGGCUCUCCCCUAAUGGGAACCAGGGAAUCCCUGGAAGAAUGGCCGAUUGCACGGCCGAGGCAAAGGAGGCACAAACAAGCCAAGGCUGGGCUUUUUCGCGGUGCCUGGAAUCAAGAAGAGACUCAGAGGGUGAGGCCGUGUCAGAAGGAAAAAGCAGCCAGUGGAGAGGCUCCUAAUGGUCAGCUCUGGAACAAUUCAGACCACUAAUAACAGAUUACAACCCACGAAAGAAGAGCCUAAUAAAUGAGGAGAGGAGAGAAUGCUCCCUUAGAGCAGAAUGCCAAAUGAUGAACCCAGAAGGAAUAAUGUAAUCAGAAAGUCACCAUUUGGGGACCAGGUCAGUAAUAACUCAGCUAAAGACGCAUCGAAGAAUGCUCAAGUUAAAGGGUAGAAUUUUGAGAAAUGGGGUAUUGUACAGUCUUCAAGUAUGCGCCCACCGGAUGCUUCUUAAUUACAAAGGAGGGGAGAGGAGCCUGAUGACGGAGCCAUCGACAGACUCUGCCAUAAAUGAGCCGCAGGCUCUACGGGAAUUCUCUGUAGUAUUUUUGUAACUUUUUUGUAAUUACUUCAAAUUAUUUCAAGAGAAAAAGAAAUAAACCACAUGCUCAAAUGUUCAAAUAAAGUCCAAAUGAGA
This is a long non-coding RNA of Mustela lutreola (European mink), 1943 nucleotides long. RefSeq lists it as uncharacterized. The record is from RefSeq and is a predicted model, not a curated record. Lineage: Eukaryota; Metazoa; Chordata; Mammalia; Carnivora; Mustelidae. The transcript is spliced from 2 exons.